AGAUUGAACGCUGGCGGCAUGCCUUACACAUGCAAGUCGAACGGCAGCACGGGAGCAAUCCUGGUGGCGAGUGGCGAACGGGUGAGUAAUACAUCGGAACGUGCCCAAUCGUGGGGGAUAACGCAGCGAAAGCUGUGCUAAUACCGCAUAAGAUCUACGGAUGAAAGCAGGGGAUCGCAAGACCUUGCGCGAAUGGAGCGGCCGAUGGCAGAUUAGGUAGUUGGUAGAGGUAAAGGCUCACCAAGCC
Molecule: ribosomal RNA, 247 nt
Filed under: uncultured soil bacterium
Lineage: Bacteria
Description: partial 16S ribosomal RNA
Rfam family: Bacterial small subunit ribosomal RNA
Source: RNAcentral